This 1664-nucleotide long non-coding RNA is filed under the name Brassica rapa (field mustard). RNAcentral's name for it is "long non-coding RNA (BRAP_LNC002696)". Lineage: Eukaryota; Viridiplantae; Streptophyta; Magnoliopsida; Brassicales; Brassicaceae. The record is from RNAcentral.
UCUUUUGAAAAAUAGAUUUUUAUAUUUAUGUGGACGGUCUAUGGAAAACACUUAGUUUUUAAUAUGAAAAAUAGAUAAUUAAUUAUAAAAUGAUAAAUUAUUAUAAAUUUAAAAAUUUCAUUAAAAAAUAAUGCAAUGUUUACAGAGGAAAUUACAUGUUUACCACUUUCAUGGUACCACUUUUCAUUUUUACCACCACUAAUAAGACAUUUUCAAAAAUACAUUUUUCAUUAAGUGGCAAAAGACUCUUAUGCCCUUGUUAUUUAUAUAUAUAUAAUAAAUCAUUAUUUAAAUAAAAAAAUAAAAUUAAAAUUAAAAAAAAUAAAAAAAUAAAAAAAAUUUAUAUAUUUUUUAAAUAUUUAUUUAUAUAUUUAUUAGAAUCAUGAAUUUCACAUUCCCAAAACCCUACCCCACCCCUCAACUAUAAACCCUAAGUCUAGAUUAGUUAACCCAAAGUGUAUAAUUGUAUUUUAUCAUUCAUUAAAAGUGAGGGUAAAAGUGGUUAGUGUAAACAUGAAAAGUGGUACUAUGGAUGUGGUAUUUGUGGCAAUUUCCCAUGUUUACAAUUAAAAGAUAAUUCUUUUACAUUCUUUUGGAUUCCUAUUAUCGAUUGAUUAAUUUAUACCAAUUUUAUUUUGACUAUUGUAGUAUUUACAUUUUCUAUAUUGUAUAUUACUUUUAAUAUAGUAUUUUCAUUUUUUAAAUUGUGUACUUAAUUGCUAUUAUUUUUGUAUAUCAUAUAAUUACAUACUUAAAUGCAUAUUUACAUGUAAAUAAUUUUUACAUUUUAAGAUAUAUGUCUAAUGUAGGAUUUCCAUUUUUUUUUUUUUACAUUUUAAGAUAGAUGUUUAAUGCUUAACGUACUUUUUCCAUUUUUUAUAUUAUGUAUUUACUGAUCAAUAUUAUUUUCGUAUAUUACAUAUAUACAUAAUAUCUAUAUUUUACAUUUUAAGAUAAAUGUUUAAGGCUUAAUGUACUUUUUCUAUUUUUUUUUAAUUGUGUAUUUACGUUUUAAGAUGAAUAUUUAAUGCUUAAUGUACUUUUUAUAUUUUAUAUUAUGUAUUUACUUAUUAAUAUUAUUUUUGUAUAUUAUAUAUUUUUAAAAUUGUGUAUUUACUUAUUAUUGUAUAUAUAAUUCGUAUAUUAUAUAUUUAUGCAUUUAAAUGUAUAUUUACUUAUAUUUUCGUAUGUACUUACUUAUUAUUACUUUUUGUAUAUUAUAUAUUUACAUAUUUAAAUUUAUAUUUACAUGUAUUUAAUUUUAUAUUUUAAGAUAGAUGUCUAAUGUAAUAUUUUCAUUCUUUCUUUUUUUUUUUUACAUUUUAAGAUAGAUGUUUAGUGCUUAAUGUAAUUUUUUCAUUUUUAUAUUAUGUAUUUACUUAUUAAUAUUAUUUUAGUAUAUUAUAUGUUUACUUAAUAUCAAUAUUUUACAUUUUAAGAUAGAUGUUUAAGGUUUAAUGUACUUUUUCUAUUUUUUUAAAAAUUAUGUAUUUACAUUUUAAGAUACAUUUUUAAUGCUUAAUAUAUUUUUAUAUUAUGUAUUUACUUAUUAGUAUUAUUUUUGUAUAUUAUAUAUAUAUUUAAAUUGUGUAUUUACUUAUUAUUGUAUAUAUAAUUUGUAUAUUAUAUAUUUACAUAUUUAAAUGUAUAUUUACUUAUAUUUU